Molecule: transfer-messenger RNA, 352 nt
Filed under: Elusimicrobiota bacterium
Lineage: Bacteria; Pseudomonadati; Elusimicrobiota
Description: Elusimicrobia bacterium (groundwater metagenome) transfer-messenger RNA
Rfam family: transfer-messenger RNA
About the family: Bacterial tmRNA, also known as 10Sa RNA or SsrA, is named for its dual tRNA and mRNA-like properties. Its role is to liberate the mRNA from a stalled ribosome.
Source: RNAcentral
GGGGGUGAAUAGGUUCGACAGCUGCCUCUAGGUCGUUGGCAGCAGGCCCUGGUUGGUCAGCGCCAGGAUAAAAGCCGACCAAAACAACAAAAGCCAACUCACAGUUGGCCUGGGCCACCGCCUAAUAAGCGCGUAGCCUACGCCGGUCCCUGACACCUGCUGGGGGAGCGCCGGCGUCAUGAGCAGGCUGGACGGCCGCACCGCGCGUUUCGUCGGGGCGGACGUCGAGAACAAAACGGAACAACUCGGGAGCACCUGUCCGCCGGUUUUCCCGGGUCGUGCCGGCGGACUAAGCCUGUAGCGGCCGCGGCGGGAGACGGUUGGACUCGAGUGCGAUUCUCGACACCUCCAA